CCUAUACAUCAAUUACAAUGGCUGCUGUUCCUGUACCUCAGUUAGAGUGGCUACAGUUAAACAACGGACGAUAUCAAGUGUUGGUGAGGAUGUGGAAGAACUGGAAUGCUCAUAUACCACUGGUGGAGGAUGCAAAAUAAUGCAGUUACUUUAGAGAACAGUUUGGUAGUUUCUUAAAACGUUAAAUAUAUAGCUACCAUCCAGUGUAACCAUUCUAUUCCUAGAUGUUUAUUCAAAAGAAAGAAAUUCACAUUCUAUACCAAAAUGUGUAUGUGAAUAUUUAUGGGAGCUUUAUCUAUAUACCCCAAACUAAAAACCACAGACAUAUCAUUCAACAGGUAAAUAAACUAACUUAAAUAUGUCCAUGCCAUGCAGUAUUACUCAGUAACAAAGAGAAACGAACCCUUGAUUUAUAUAACAUGGAUGGAUCUCAAGGGAAUCAUGCCAAGUGAAAAAAAGUCAGUCCCAAGAGGUUACCAGAUGUAUGCUUCCAUUAAUGUAAAAUUCUUGAGGUGACAAAAUUAUAGAGGACAGGUUAGUGGUUGCUAGAACGAGGGACCACAAGGGGGAACAGGAGAGGCCGUGAUUAUAAAAGGACAACACAGUGAGUCCUCGUGGCGAUGGAACACUCCGUAAAAAAAAAAAAAAAAGAUCCAUGGGUUGUAUCAGGGUCUGUAUCAUCGUUGUGAUAUCAUACUUUAAGUUUUGCAAGAUGUUACUAUUGGGGGAAAAUAGUUAAAGGGUAAAAGAUCUCUGUGUAAGUUUUUAUAUCUAGAUAUAGCUACAAUUAUUUCAAAAUGAAAAGCUUAAUUAAAUUAAAAUAUAUACAUGUGUAUCAAGACAACAGCUUGAGAUGCAGUCCCCUUAUUCAGGUCUUCAAUUUCCAUAAACGGACACUGGAGGCAGAACAAGAGACAUGGAAUUUAUUUUUAGGGAUCCUUUUUCAGGACACAAGAUUAACAUUUCAGUUUUACGUGGUCACAGGAGGGUGUGUGCACAUAUGAUGGAACUGUUCAUCAUUAUUUCAACUUUGUCCUUUUCCAGUUUUCUAGUCCUAGAUUCUUCGUUGCGGUAAAAAGAACAGGCUUCAUUGUCAGGCUGCUGUAAGCAAGAAAUGAAAAGAUGUUUAGUGAGAGGUUUGGGGGAGCGCAGAGAUUUCUGGAGGUCUACGAAGUGGAACCACAUAAAUAGAUCGGUCCCAUGAUAGGAACAGGGGCUGGGGAGACAUGGCAAGAAUGCACCUCAAGAAUGCGCUUUCUGUCCUAAAGUCACUGGCUCUUAGCAAAAAAAGGUCUCUCACUGAAGGACUUACAUCAGUACCUCCUGGUCAUACAGAGACAAUGAGAUCGAGGAUUGGCCUCCUUGGUCUCCCAAGGAACAGACACCAAAACUGAACGUUACACUCAAUUUCCCACAGUGGAGGAGGGGUGGUUCCCCCAGAGAAACACAGGAAGCCACUGGGGAGGUGGAAUGAAUGCUGGGUGGCCAGAGGGUGACAAACACGGAUGCUACCAGGAGAACGAGACUAACACACAUGCAAGUGUCAAGGGGGUGGUUUUUCAGAAGGCCUGGGAAGGCAGUUUUCAACCCCAAUUCCUUCUUUGUGUAGUUUCUGACAUCUCAUCAUUUGGGAAUAUUUCCUGUUAAGCAUUAACCCUCAUUCGAUAGGCCAUUUAGAAUAUACGUUCCCCUGGUAGAGCCUAAAUGCCACUGAGUAUUAAUAUCAGAUUUGUCUGGACACACUCAGAAGGGGUCUGUGUCAACAAAAGGGGAACACCUGGAAUGGGGAAGUUAAGAGGGGUUUAGGAAUUCCCAUCGUGGCUCAGCCGUAGUGAACCCAACUAGUAUCCAUGAGGACACGGGUUUGAUCCCUGGCCUCGCAAGGUGGGUUAAGGAUCCAUCAUUGCCAUGAGCUAUGAGGUCUGUUGCAGACGUGGCUCAAGUCUGGCAUUGCUGUGGCUGUGGUAUAGGCCAGUAGCUGCAGCUCUGAUUCAUCACUUAGCUUGGGAACUUCCAGAGCUAUUCCCCCUUAAGGAAUGAUUUAGGGGCAGCAUACCUGUUUUAGGUGUGGUCAGGCCUAGGCUUUGAAAAUUGCAAAGUACGGGAGAAUCGGAAGGCAAGUUCCAUACAUGCUGUGACUACUUCAUAAAAUUUUGAGCCAAGUCUGCAAAUGGCACCACCUGAAUGGCUGUUUACUCUAGAAGCAUGUGUAUAGGAACCAGUCAGCUACAACGCCACAGGUAAGGAAUGGAUUCAGUUCAAACAUAACCCAGGAGUUCCCAUUGUGCCUCAGUGGGAUACCAACUAGUAUCCAUGGGGACUCGGGUGAGAUCCUUGGCCUCACUCAGUGGGUUAAGGAUCCAGUGUUGCCAUGAGCUGCAGUAUACAUAGCAGAUGCAGCUUGGAUCCCAUGUUGCUGUGGCUGCAGUGUAGGCUGGCAGCUGUAGUUCCAAUUCAUCCCCUAGCCUGGAACUUACAUUUGCCUCAGGUGUGGCCCUAAAAAG
This 2504-nucleotide long non-coding RNA is filed under the name Sus scrofa (pig). RNAcentral's name for it is "lncRNA (ENSSSCG00055014822.1)". Lineage: Eukaryota; Metazoa; Chordata; Mammalia; Artiodactyla; Suidae. The record is from RNAcentral.